GAUCCUGGCUCAGGAUGAACGCUAGCUACUGGCUUAACACAUGCAAGUCGAGGGGAACCAGGAUUCCCUCUUGCUGGAAUUGGUGGCGACUCUAAUCACGAUGGCUGACGCCUGUCCGACCUCCAUAAGACACAGGUCCCACCUUGUUAAAGGCAUAUCAUCGCCUGUACUAUAUCGACACACAUCUAACUCGUAAGUAUUCAUGUUCAUGCUGUGACCGGAAUGCGUUCCAUUAGAUAGUAGGCGGGGUAACGGCCCACCUAGUCGACGAUGGAUAGGGGUUCUGAGAGGAAGGUCCCCCACAUUGGAACUGAGACACGGUCCAAACUCCUACGGGAGGCAGCAGUGAGGAAUAUUGGUCAAUGGAUGAGAAUCUGAACCAGCCAAGUAGCGUGAAGGAUGACGGCCCUACGGGUUGUAAACUUCUUUUGAAAGGGAAUAAAGUGUGGUACGUGUACCAUAUUGUAUGUACCUUUGGAAUAAGCAUCGGCUAACUCCGUGCCAGCAGCCGCGGUAAUACGGAGGAUGCGAGCGUUAUCCGGAUUUAUUGGGUUUAAAGGGUGCGUAGGCGGACGCUUAAGUCAGUUGUGAAAGUUCGAGGCUCAACCUUGGAAUUGCAAUUGAUACUGGUCGUCUAGAGAUUACAUAAGGUAGGCGGAAUUCGUGGUGUAGCGGUGAAAUGCUUAGAUAUCACGAAGAACUCCAAUUGCGAAGGCAGCUUGCCGGGGUACAUCUGACGCUGAGGCACGAAAGUAUGGGUAUCAAACAGGAUUAGAUACCCUGGU
Molecule: ribosomal RNA, 785 nt
Filed under: uncultured bacterium
Lineage: Bacteria
Description: bacterial SSU rRNA
Rfam family: Bacterial small subunit ribosomal RNA
Source: RNAcentral